CCUACGGGAGGCAGCAGUGGGGAAUCUUGCGCAAUGGGCGAAAGCCUGACGCAGCCAUGCCGCGUGUAUGAUGAAGGUCUUAGGAUUGUAAAAUACUUUCACCGGUGAAGAUAAUGACUGUAGCCGGAGAAGAAGCCCCGGCUAACUUCGUGCCAGCAGCCGCGGUAAUACGAAGGGGGCUAGCGUUGCUCGGAAUUACUGGGCGUAAAGGGAGCGUAGGCGGACAUUUAAGUCAGGGGUGAAAUCCCAGAGCUCAACUCUGGAACUGCCUUUGAUACUGGGUGUCUUGAGUGUGAUAGAGGUAUGUGGAACUCCGAGUGUAGAGGUGAAAUUCGUAGAUAUUCGGAAGAACACCAGUGGCGAAGGCGACAUACUGGAUCAUUACUGACGCUGAGGCUCGAAAGCGUGGGGAGCAAACAGGAUUAGAUACCCUGGUAGUCCACGCCGUAAACGAUGAUUGCUAGUUGUCGGGAUGUUUACAUCUCGGUGACGCAGCUAACGCAUUAAGCAAUCCGCCUGGGGAGUACGGUCGCAAGAUUAAAACUCAAAGGAAUUGACGG
Molecule: ribosomal RNA, 560 nt
Filed under: uncultured bacterium
Lineage: Bacteria
Description: bacterial SSU rRNA
Rfam family: Bacterial small subunit ribosomal RNA
Source: RNAcentral